Molecule: ribosomal RNA, 478 nt
Filed under: uncultured bacterium
Lineage: Bacteria
Description: bacterial SSU rRNA
Rfam family: Bacterial small subunit ribosomal RNA
Source: RNAcentral
GAUGAACGCUGGCGGCGUGCUUAACACAUGCAAGUCGAACGUGAGAGGAUAGCAAUAUUCUUGAAAGUGGCGCACGGGUGAGUAAUACGUAGGUAACCUGCCCUGGAGUGGGGAUAACAACUAGAAUGGUUGCUAAUACCGCAUGAAGCCAAGACACUGGGAAGUGACUUGGUAAAAACUCUGGUGCUUCAGGAGGGCCUACGGCCGAUUAGCUAGUUGGCGGGGUAAGAGCCCACCAAGGCAGUGAUCGGUAGCUGGUCUGAGAGGACGAUCAGCCACACGGGAACUGAGACACGGUCCCGACUCCUACGGGGGCAGCAGUGAGGAAUAUUGGGCAAUGGGCGGAAGCCUGACCCAGCAACGCCGCGUGGAGGAAGACGGCCUUCGGGUUGUAAACGUCCUUUUAACGGGGUAAGAGGAAGGACGGUACCCGAGAAUAAGUACACGACGUAACUACGUAGCCAGCAGCCGCGGUAAU